UGAGAGUUGUAUUACUGGCGGGAGUGGGUGAACCACACGGAGUAUGACUCAAUAUAAUGUCGACCGCCUGGGCACUUCUG
Molecule: non-coding RNA, 80 nt
Filed under: Liquorilactobacillus capillatus
Lineage: Bacteria; Bacillati; Bacillota; Bacilli; Lactobacillales; Lactobacillaceae
Also listed under: 1 other name
Description: Lactobacillus capillatus ZTP sequence
Rfam family: ZMP/ZTP riboswitch aptamer (pfl RNA motif)
About the family: Previously known as pfl RNA. ZMP is also known as AICAR.
Source: RNAcentral